RNAcentral lists this transfer RNA (120 nucleotides) under Silvibacterium bohemicum. RNAcentral describes it as "tRNA-Pro". Lineage: Bacteria; Pseudomonadati; Acidobacteriota; Terriglobia; Terriglobales; Acidobacteriaceae. The record is from RNAcentral.
GCGGCGGGAGCGCUAGUAAGGCGCGAGCAAGGCGAGAGGGUUUGGGCGAGAGCCGAAAGCGCGAAGCCAAAACCCUCGAAUGUGGUGGCUACGGAGGUUCGAAUCCUCCCCUGUGCACCA